Molecule: ribosomal RNA, 321 nt
Filed under: Cetostoma regani (pink flabby whalefish)
Lineage: Eukaryota; Metazoa; Chordata; Actinopteri; Beryciformes; Cetomimidae
Description: partial 12S ribosomal RNA
Source: RNAcentral
CAUUGNGCGGCACACUCAGCUAUCCGCCUGGGAACUACGAGCAGCAGCUUAAAACCCAAAGGACUUGGCGGUGCUUUAAAACCCAUCUAGAGGAGCCUGUUCUAGAACCGAUAAUCCCCGUUCAACCUCGCCCCCCCUCGUUUUCCCAGCCUAUAUACCGCCGUCGUCAGCUUACCCUGUGAAGGUAAGAUAGUAAGCAGAAUUGAUAGAAUCCGAAACGUCAAGGUCAGGUGUAGCAUAUNNNNNNNNNNUGGGCUACAUUCCCUACUACAUGAUAUGGCGUUAGGAGUAUUAAUGAUUCUUACCCCAUGAACGAGGAAU